AGAACAUGGUAGCAUGUAUCACUUCUGCUCACAUUCCACUGAAAAGACCUCAGUUACGUGGCCACAUCUAACUUCAAGGAAGCCUGAGAAACAUGUCCAGCUCUGUGCCCAGGAAGAAAGGGAAAGCUUCUUGUGGUUUUCCAGGUUAAAAAGUAUCCUACCCGGGCUUUGGCAUAGAUGUUCAGACAGAAAGAGGGCAAAGAGCUGACCCUGUGUUGAAGGCAUUCACAAUCUAGGAGGAAGAUAGUCAAGAAAACAAAUAGUUGUGAUACAAUGGACUUGACUCACCAUUGGGAGAGCACUGAGAAGGGAGCAGCUUCCGUGUCUGCCCCAGUAUGUGUGACCAAAACUAUAAG
RNAcentral lists this long non-coding RNA (356 nucleotides) under Mustela putorius furo (domestic ferret). RNAcentral describes it as "lncRNA (ENSMPUG00000032024.1)". The record is from RNAcentral. Lineage: Eukaryota; Metazoa; Chordata; Mammalia; Carnivora; Mustelidae.